UUAGGCACGAAAUUGUAGGAAAUGUGUUAGGGGAAGUACGGUAGUUCGUUAGGAAAUGUGGGCCAACAUUCAAGAAGAAUCGUCUCGCACAUAUAUACUGAUGCUUCAGUGAGUUGUUGAAGUUGUGCUACAAAAAGUUACAACAAAUGGUUGAAUGAUAACUGGAGCAUUGUCUUUAUAUAUGGAAAAUUCAUGCAUUCUCGCAAUACUUUAAAAGAUUAUUUCUAGCUUCUGAAAGGAUAUGUCAGAUACAGAUUCACAAAGUGUAUUUAAAUUCCCGACAAAGUAAAAGAAAUUCCCUACGUCGGAGAGCUUGAAUUCAUACGGGAAAGUUUGCUGAACUAAUAGCGUGAGUGACUGCUGAGAAUCGGAGAGCAAAAUCAUUUUCUCACAUUUAUUGUUUAAAGCCAAUGAUUGUUUCAAUGUACUUCACCUCUCUAUCGACAGCCAUUCAGAAACACAGAAGCAGAAAGGGGCGAAAGCACUCUUGACCUUCUGCAGACACAGAAUGGGCUCAUUUUGUAUACAUAUGAUCAGUUGCAUUCCAGAUAUUCAACGCCAGUAGUCUCCAAAGUACGCACUACUUUUAUGAAGUGGCUCACGGUAAUAUUUAAUUAAAGGUCGCUCCCAGAUAAUAAAGCUUGUCAGUAAUUGCAAGCGCAGUAUUUCUAUAAUUCACAGUAAGGCAAAAUCCUGGAUGGAUAGACGAAAAUUAUUAUUAUUUCUAUUAUAUAACAUAGAUUAUUUCUAUUACAAAUUAUUUUACAUCAAAGAGAAUUAAAUGUUUGCUUUCAUCAUCAUAUUCUGUUACUAUUGUAAAUGAUGAUCAGAAAUAACCCAAAUUUAUUACGAUCUAGCACAGAAUUAUGAGCAUUUAUUAACAGCUGCCAUACAAACAUAAUCGGUAUAUGAUUGUCUAUUUUUAAGACAAAUACAAUCGUCUAAGGUAACAUUUUUCUGGAGUAUGACUUCUGCUUUCUAUUGUUUUUAUAAAUUUGUAUGAUAUAUGAUUAUGAUAAAUACAAAUAAAAAAAAUUAAACAAAGAAUACGCUACAAAAAUAAGUUUUUCAUUAAAAAAUAGACAAAUUUUAAUAAAUAAUAUAGACUGUUGUUCAUUUUAAACGAAUCUUGAAAUUAUCGUGAUUAUGUUUAUUGUAUUUGAAUAUGGAAUAAAAAUGCCCUGUCUCAGAAAUGUACAUGUAUCGAACAAGAAAAUUAUUUCAUUCCAUGAUAUAAAUUUUUAUUCGUAUGAUGCAAAUUUCUUUAAAAAUAUUCUCAGUUUCAAAUUAUGCUUCAAAUCUUGCAAUAUUAAUUAAAAACUGAAUUGUAAAUAUGAAUUAAAAUGUAAAACAAAUUGCAAAUUGUGUAUUACUGGGAUUAA
Long non-coding RNA from Stegodyphus dumicola, 1382 nucleotides. The record is from RefSeq and is a predicted model, not a curated record. Lineage: Eukaryota; Metazoa; Arthropoda; Arachnida; Araneae; Eresidae.